AACGAACGCUGGCGGCAUGCCUAACACAUGCAAGUCGAACGAGACCUUCGGGUCUAGUGGCGCACGGGUGCGUAACGCGUGGGAACCUGCCCUUAGGUUCGGAAUAACUCCCCGAAAGGGGUGCUAAUACCGGAUAAUGUCUUCGGACCAAAGAUUUAUCGCCUUUGGAUGGGCCCGCGUUGGAUUAGCUAGUUGGUAGGGUAAAAGCCUACCAAGGCGACGAUCCAUAGCUGGUCUGAGAGGAUGAUCAGCCACACUGGGACUGAGACACGGCCCAGACACCUACGGGAGGCAGCAGUGGGGAAUAUUGGACAAUGGGCGAAAGCCUGAUCCAGCAAUGCCGCGUGAGUGAUGAAGGCCUUAGGGUUGUAAAGCUCUUUUACCCGGGAUGAUAAUGACAGUACCGGGAGAAUAAGCUCCGGCUAACUCCGU
RNAcentral lists this ribosomal RNA (432 nucleotides) under uncultured bacterium. Its description in RNAcentral is "partial 16S ribosomal RNA". It matches the Rfam family "Bacterial small subunit ribosomal RNA", at positions 29 to 506 of the family's 1533-position model. The record is from RNAcentral.